RNAcentral lists this small RNA (950 nucleotides) under Penicillium kewense. Its description in RNAcentral is "eukaryotic LSU rRNA". The stretch from base 447 to 950 matches the Rfam family "Eukaryotic large subunit ribosomal RNA", at positions 1 to 509 of the family's 3401-position model. The record is from RNAcentral. Lineage: Eukaryota; Fungi; Ascomycota; Eurotiomycetes; Eurotiales; Aspergillaceae.
UGUUGCUUCGGCGGGCCCGCCUUAACUGGCCGCCGGGGGGCUCACGCCCCCGGGCCCGCGCCCGCCGAAGACACCCUCGAACUCUGUCUGAAGAUUGUAGUCUGAGUGAAAACAUAAAUUAUUUAAAACUUUCAACAACGGAUCUCUUGGUUCCGGCAUCGAUGAAGAACGCAGCGAAAUGCGAUACGUAAUGUGAAUUGCAAAUUCAGUGAAUCAUCGAGUCUUUGAACGCACAUUGCGCCCCCUGGUAUUCCGGGGGGCAUGCCUGUCCGAGCGUCAUUACUGCCCUCAAGCCCGGCUUGUGUGUUGGGCCCCGUCCUCCGAUCCCGGGGGACGGGCCCGAAAGGCAGCGGCGGCACCGCGUCCGGUCCUCGAGCGUAUGGGGCUUUGUCACCCGCUCUGUAGGCCCGGCCGGCGCUUGCCGAUCAACCCCAAUUUUUAUAGGUUGACCUCGGAUCAGGUAGGGAUACCCGCUGAACUUAAGCAUAUCAAUAAGCGGAGGAAAAGAAACCAACAGGGAUUGCCCCAGUAACGGCGAGUGAAGCGGCAAGAGCUCAAAUUUGAAAGCUGGCUCCUUCGGGGUCCGCAUUGUAAUUUGCAGAGGAUGCUUCGGGAGCGGUCCCCAUCUAAGUGCCCUGGAACGGGACGUCAUAGAGGGUGAGAAUCCCGUAUGGGAUGGGGUGUCCGCGCCCGUGUGAAGCUCCUUCGACGACUCGAGUUGAUUGGGAAUGCAGCAUCUAAAUGGGUGGUAAAUUUCAUCUCAAGCUAAAUAUUGGCCGGAGACCGAUAGCACACAAGUAGAGUGAUCGAAAGAUGACAAGCACUUUGAAAAGAGAGUUAAAAAGCACGUGUAAAUAGUUGAAAGGGAAGCGCUUGCGACCAGACUCGGUCGCGGGGUUCAGCCGGCAUUCGUGCCGGUGUACUUCCCCGCGGGAGGGCCAGCGGCGGUU